Molecule: small nuclear RNA, 102 nt
Organism: Mustela erminea (ermine)
Lineage: Eukaryota; Metazoa; Chordata; Mammalia; Carnivora; Mustelidae
Source: RefSeq, a predicted model, not a curated record
GUGCUCGCUUCUGCCGCACAUAGUAAAAUUGGAAUGAUACAGAGAUUAGCAUGGCCCCUGUGUAAGGAUGACACGCUAAUUCGUGAAGCGCUCCAUAUUUUU